Mustela erminea (ermine) is the source of this 1065-nucleotide long non-coding RNA. RefSeq lists it as uncharacterized. The transcript is spliced from 3 exons. Lineage: Eukaryota; Metazoa; Chordata; Mammalia; Carnivora; Mustelidae. The record is from RefSeq and is a predicted model, not a curated record.
CCGGCACGUGGCAGGUGUGCAGUCCAUUGCUUUCGUCUCGUGGGGAGAGACAGGUUUCAGGGUCAGACUGACGGGUACGAGUCCCCAUUUCAUCUCUUACCGCCUCUAGAGUCCCAGAUACCAUCUCAUCAAGGAAGCUUUCCCGGACCCCUCCCUGCCAAGAUGGCGCCCGCAUCAGCACCGAUUCUGCUGCCCCACGACAGUGUUUUCAUUCGUCAUUCUUGCCACCAGCCCUGUUCUCAGCUGUCUCACCACCACCUAGUGCAAUGAAAGCCCAGCACCUUCUGCUUGAUAGGGUUUCCAAGGAGAGCGGUGGACUGAGCUGCAAAGAAGUUUCCCUGGCCCCAGGAGCUGCUGACCUGCGGGGACCCCAGCCACAGGGUCCUGGGCGUGACAAGGUGGGUGCAUGAGGCUGCGGAGGGACAUUGGGAUUUUCAUGGAAACUUCAACCCACAGUGACCACUUGCAUGGGACGACAGUGCCUCCUGGUGGUUGAUUCAUGGAACUCUCCAGCAGCUGUUCUGUAAAGCCCAAAGGAUUAAGCUCUCAAGAGCUUCUAUUUUUGGUUCCCAAUAUUUCCAUAAUGAAAUGCCUACAGGAGCAGCCAGAGGGCUUCUCAAAGGGCCCGAGAGCUGCACGGCUGAACUCCCGUGAUCUGCAGCUAUCUGCCCUCCAGCGGUCAGACCGGCGCCUUGCUCUCAGGUGCGGGUCUCUUUUCCACUGGGUUAGACCCAAGGGUCUCAGGACAGUGGCUCUGUUCUCCGUGACGAGUCUGGCCUCAGAGGGAAUGCCGUGUGCACAUUCAGCGUGACGUGUUGGAAAGAACACUGGGUCCAGGGUCAGGAGGCUUGGGUGCUCGCCCCACGUCAGCCGCUAACUCACAGCGAGAAAAUAAUCACGGUGAGAGCUGUGUUGAUUCGGUAUUUACUGAACCAGCCACUGCAACAGGAGCUUUAGGUACGCUGGUCCUCACAACACACCUCUGAGGUUGGGGCUAUUAUUUCCAUGUUAGAGGGGAAGAAAUCAAGACAUGGAGAGGUUAAGUAAGCUCACAAUGUGGGGGCG